Molecule: long non-coding RNA, 1023 nt
Filed under: Camarhynchus parvulus
Lineage: Eukaryota; Metazoa; Chordata; Aves; Passeriformes; Thraupidae
Description: lncRNA (ENSCPVG00000008012.2)
Source: RNAcentral
AUGGGAGUGCUCCCGUCCCUGACCCACCGCGGGGGCCGCGUCAGCUCGGGCAGGGCCCGGGAAGGCCGAGGGAUGCCAGCCCCACACCGGGCCCACCCCGACUCGCCGUGGCUGGCACCGCAGGAGGGGGUUCCCGCCCGGAACACCCAGGAUGAGGUGUCCAGCUGCACCGGCCAUCUCCACGUGGCUCCAUGCCAUUCCCAGAAGCGCCACCAAGGCCUUGCUGGGACGGACGGCACAGCUGGAGCCAGCAGAGAUGCGCAGCUCCCGCAGCACGGCGGUGCCUCAGUUUCCCCUCGGGACGCUGCAGCGGGACCGCAGUGUGGGGCAUCCAAGCGAGCACGAAGGAGCAGCAGCAGCAGCCCCACAGCUCGGCCCUGCCACCCCGCUGCUUGCCCCCGGGCAUGCGGCCGCUCCGGCGCCACGGCGGGGGUGGCUCUGGGGGGCUGGAGCCCAUCCCAGCCCCGUCACCGCACGCAAGCCGGAAAAGUUCAUCCACAGCCAUCGCAGGCAGGGACUGCCCGAGUGUCCCGGGGCCGGGGUGAGCGGGGCCGGGGGUGCCGGGGGUGCCCGGGGUGCCAGUGCCGAACUGGGGGUGCUGGGGAGGCUGAGGCGCGGAUGGGACUGGCCCUUUCCCAACCGAAAGAAAUCUGGGCUUCAUUAGAGGGAUUGGGAGCGUCCCCGCGGCUCGGAGAAGAGGCCGAGGCACGGCCCGGCCACCGGGGCUGGGCUGGGGGAGGCCGGGAGAGAGCCCUGGCACUGCCAGGCGGGCACAGGGCAGCCAGGGAGGGGAAACGCUGCGCUCCUGGUUAUUCAUUGACGGCGGGAGGGGACGGAGGAGCGCGGAGCAGCCAUCCCAGUGCGUGUGCUCUCACGGUGGUGGCGGGUCCCCCCUUGUCCCCAGCAGCAGCAGCCAGCGGGAGAAGAUGCCCGGCGGGAGCGUGUGGGUGCUGGUGCUGGCGCUGGCGCUGGCACUGCCCAGCACUGGACAGCAGCACCUGGAGGAGGCCGAGCGCAUCAUGA